UACGGGGGGUGCGAGCGUUGUCCGGAAUCACUGGGCGUAAAGGGCGCGUAGGUGGCGUCGUAAGUCUGUGGUGAAAGCCCGGAGCUCAACUCCGGGUCUGCCGCGGAUACUGCGAGGCUUGAGUGCUGUAGAGGGGGGUAGAAUGCCGGGUGUAGCGGUGGAAUGCGUAGAGAUCCGAUAGAAGACCGGUGGCGAAGGCGGCCUGCUGGGCAGUAACUGACACUGAGGCGCGACAGCGUGGGGAGCAAACAGG
Molecule: ribosomal RNA, 253 nt
Filed under: uncultured bacterium
Lineage: Bacteria
Description: partial 16S ribosomal RNA
Rfam family: Bacterial small subunit ribosomal RNA
Source: RNAcentral